Molecule: ribosomal RNA, 253 nt
Filed under: uncultured bacterium
Lineage: Bacteria
Description: partial 16S ribosomal RNA
Rfam family: Bacterial small subunit ribosomal RNA
Source: RNAcentral
UACGUAGGGGGCAAGCGUUGUCCGGAUUUAUUGGGCGUAAAGAGCGUGUAGGCGGCUAUACAGGUCCGCUGUGAAAACUCGAGGCUCAACCUCGAGACGUCGGUGGAAACCGUAUGGCUAGAGUCCGGAAGAGGAGAGUGGAAUUCCUGGUGUAGCGGUGAAAUGCGCAGAUAUCAGGAAGAACACCCGUGGCGAAGGCGGCUCUCUGGGACGGUACUAACGCUGAGACGCGAAAGCGUGGGUAGCAAACAGG